This 254-nucleotide ribosomal RNA is filed under the name uncultured bacterium. Its description in RNAcentral is "partial 16S ribosomal RNA". It matches the Rfam family "Bacterial small subunit ribosomal RNA", at positions 524 to 776 of the family's 1533-position model. The record is from RNAcentral.
UACGUAGGGUGCGAGCGUUGUCCGGAAUUAUUGGGCGUAAAGAGCUCGUAGGCGGUCUGUCGCGUCGAUCGUGAAAACUUGGGGCUUAACCCUGAGCUUGCGGUCGAUACGGGCAUGACUGGAGUUCGGCAGGGGAGACUGGAAUUCCUGGUGUAGCGGUGAAAUGCGCAGAUAUCAGGAGGAACACCGGUGGCGAAGGCGGGUCUUUGGGCCGAUACUGGCGCUGAGGAGCGAAAGCGUGGGGAGCGAACAGG